This 365-nucleotide ribosomal RNA is filed under the name Oediopalpa sp. 2 LS-2014. RNAcentral describes it as "SSU rRNA". It matches the Rfam family "Eukaryotic small subunit ribosomal RNA", at positions 602 to 925 of the family's 1831-position model. Lineage: Eukaryota; Metazoa; Arthropoda; Insecta; Coleoptera; Chrysomelidae. The record is from RNAcentral.
UAUUAAAGUUGUUGCGGUUAAAAAGCUCGUAGUCGAAUUUGUGUCCCGCGCCGCCGGUUCAUCGUACGCGGUGUUAACUGGCGUGCCGCGGGACGUCCUGCCGGUGGGCCUAAGUCCGCAAGGGCGUCGGCCCGACCCAAUCCCGCCGCGGUGCUCUUCACUGAGUGUCGAGGUGGGCCGGCACGUUUACUUUGAACAAAUUAGAGUGCUUAAAGCAGGCUAAAACUUCGCCUGAAUACUGUGUGCAUGGAAUAAUGGAAUAGGACCUCGGUUCUAUUUUGUUGGUUUUCGGAACCCCGAGGUAAUGAUUAAUAGGAACGGAUGGGGGCAUUCGUAUUGCGACGUUAGAGGUGAAAUUCUUGGAU